GACGAACGCUGGCGGCGUGCUUAACACAUGCAAGUCGAACGGAAAGGCCCUGCUUUUGUGGGGUGCUCGAGUGGCGAACGGGUGAGUAACACGUGAGUAACCUGCCCUUGACUUUGGGAUAACUUCAGGAAACUGGGGCUAAUACCGGAUAGGAGCUCCUGCUGCAUGGUGGGGGUUAGAAAGUUUCGGCGGUUGGGGAUGGACUCGCGGCUUAUCAGCUUGUUGGUGGGGUAGUGGCUUACCAAGGCUUUGACGGGUAGCCGGCCUGAGAGGGUGACCGGCCACAUUGGGACUGAGAUACGGCCCAGACUCCUACGGGAGGCAGCAGUGGGGAAUAUUGCACAAUGGGCGGAAGCCUGAUGCAGCAACGCCGCGUGCGGGAUGACGGCCUUCGGGUUGUAAACCGCUUUCGCCUGUGACGAAGCGUGAGUGACGGUAAUGGGCAAAGAAGCACCGGCUAACUACGUG
Molecule: ribosomal RNA, 468 nt
Filed under: uncultured bacterium
Lineage: Bacteria
Description: partial 16S ribosomal RNA
Rfam family: Bacterial small subunit ribosomal RNA
Source: RNAcentral